Molecule: ribosomal RNA, 488 nt
Filed under: uncultured bacterium
Lineage: Bacteria
Description: bacterial SSU rRNA
Rfam family: Bacterial small subunit ribosomal RNA
Source: RNAcentral
GAUGAACGCUAGCGGCAGGCUUAAUACAUGCAAGUCGAGGGGCAUCAAGGUACACGAAAGUGUAUUGUUGGCGACCGGCGGACGGGUGAGUAAUAGGUAGGUAACCUACCUCAUACUGAGGCAUAGCUGGGAGAAAUUCCAGGUAAUUCCUCAUGAGGUUAUAUGACACAUGUGAUAUAAUCAAAGGUAUCGCAAGGUACUGGUAUGAGAUGGGCUUACUGACCAUUAGCUAGUUGGUGAGAUAAGAGCUCACCAAGGCGAAGAUGGUUAGGGGUUUUGAGAGAGAGAUCCCCCACAUUGGAACUGAGAUACGGUCCAGACUCCUACGGGAGGCAGCAGUAGGGAAUAUUGGGCAAUGGGCGGAAGCCCGACCCAGCCAUGCCGCGUGAAGGAAGACGGCCUUAUGGGUUGUAAACUUCUUUACUAUGCGACUAACUAGAUUUACGAGAUAAUUCUAUAGAAUGUAGCAUAGCAAAAGCACCGGCUAA